This 572-nucleotide ribosomal RNA is filed under the name uncultured bacterium. RNAcentral's name for it is "partial 16S ribosomal RNA". It matches the Rfam family "Bacterial small subunit ribosomal RNA", at positions 355 to 914 of the family's 1533-position model. The record is from RNAcentral.
UGGGGAAUAUUGCACAAUGGGCGCAAGCCUGAUGCAGCCAUGCCGCGUGUGUGAAGAAGGCCUUCGGGUUGUAAAGCACUUUCAGCGAGGAGGAAGGUGGUGAGCUUAAUACGCUCAUCAAUUGACGUUACUCGCAGAAGAAGCACCGGCUAACUCCGUGCCAGCAGCCGCGGUAAUACGGAGGGUGCAAGCGUUAAUCGGAAUUACUGGGCGUAAAGCGCACGCAGGCGGUUUGUUAAGUCAGAUGUGAAAAUCCCCGGGCUCAACCUGGGAACUGCAUUUGAAACUGGCAAGCUAGAGUCUCGUAGAGGGGGGUAGAAUUCCAGGUGUAGCGGUGAAAUGCGUAGAGACCUGGAGGAAUACCGGUGGCGAAGGCGGCCCCCUGGACGAAGACUGACGCUCAGGUGCGAAAAGCGUGGGGCAGCAAACAGGAUUAGAUACCCUGGUAGUCCACGCUGUAAAACGAUGUCGAUUUUGGAGGUUGUGCCCUUGAGGCGUGGCUUCCGGAGCUAACGCGUUAAAUCGACCGCCUGGGGAGUACGGCCGCAAGGUUAAAACUCAAAUGAAUUGAC